Small nucleolar RNA from Sorex fumeus (smoky shrew), 207 nucleotides. RefSeq annotates it as small nucleolar RNA U3. Lineage: Eukaryota; Metazoa; Chordata; Mammalia; Eulipotyphla; Soricidae. The transcript has a single exon. The record is from RefSeq and is a predicted model, not a curated record.
UAUAUUAUCCUUUGGGGGAGCAUGUCUGUAGUCAUUACUAGAGAAGUCUCUGAUCAUGUAGAGUGCCUAAAACCGUGAGAAGCUAGAGCAUCCUCUCUGGAGCGUGAUGCUGGUUCAGGUAUGACUUUUGUGACUGACUUUUACCAUUGAUGAUCAUUCUUCUCUUCCCUUGGAAGGGUGAGAGGGACAGGAUGCAGGCUGAGUGGU